This 2397-nucleotide long non-coding RNA is filed under the name Dasypus novemcinctus (nine-banded armadillo). RNAcentral describes it as "lncRNA (ENSDNOG00000052074.1)". Lineage: Eukaryota; Metazoa; Chordata; Mammalia; Cingulata; Dasypodidae. The record is from RNAcentral.
GGGCAUCCGGGUCCCUCGCCCCGCCCCGUCCAUGAAUGAGAGGCGGGCGCGCGCCCCUCCCCCCCGGCCCGCCCUCGCCGGGGCCGCCGCGCAGUCAGCGGACGCCGCCUCAGCCCCGCUGUCCGCGCCGUCGCUCCCGCCGCCGCCCGGGCCCUGGCUGACGGCCGCUGCCGGCGCGCGCGAUUGGCUUUUAUGCCCACCCCUACGAGAACCAGGAGACGAUGGCCAUUAAUGUCAAGUGAGAUCUGACUCUGAGGAGGAAGACUCGUUCACAGCCAUUCGCCAAACUUCAAAAAUGCCGAGACUCCAGCAGCUGCAGGUAGAGUGGUUCCGCGUGACGUAGACAUUGCUCUUCUGUUGCAUUUGGAUUUCCUUCUUGUGAGGAAAAACAUGUUUUGUUGAGGGAAAGGAUCAGCUUUUCUUGAAAGUUAAGCAGAUAUUGUAUUGCAUGUAGAGUUUAUGUCAUAUUGAGGAUUGGAACUGCCCCUUGCUUUGUGUUUUUUCAUGGCCUUUUUGUAAUUAUGAGGUGAAGUGCAACUUGAGAUUGUUUUCCUCCUCUGUAAUUUGCUUUCCAUUUCAUCCUCCUCCUCUCUCAGCAGUAGUCUGUGCUCUUGUUCCUGCACCCACCCUCUUUUAAGUUCUCCUUCCCUUAGUUAUUUGCAAGACUGAAUUAAAUAAUUAGAAGGCAAUAGUUAAAUGCUAGUAAGCAGACUCUCUGUAAGAUUAUAAUACACGCAAGGUCAUACCUGGGAUAGAAAGGGUCAGAAGGGAUGUGAAACAUCCAGUUUGAAUUCCUCACCAUCCAAAGUGAAGUCUCAAAAGAAUCAAUGGAAUUAUUUAAAUUGAAAAUGAAGACCUCACCAGUUCACAGAAAUAGGGGGGAAAAAGGCUUUAUGAAGCUUACACAGAGAAUAAUUACUAGAAAUAUGGCGAAGUCAAAAUAGACCCACCAAAAUAAAAAAACAUCUGAAAUAAAAAAUGGUCAUGAAUACAAACUUCAUUUAUGGCAAACAGAUUAAAAUUAGCCCUGUCAGCUUGAUUCUAAACUUUGGCAACACUAGCAAAGAGGAAAACUGUGCACAAACCCAGAGAAAACAAUGGUAACUGAAUAAAUGGGAAAAAGCCCAAACUGCAAAAGAAAUGGAAUUGUCAAUAAUGAAGCUGGAAAGGAUAAAAGUCACAAAGACUAUUAAAAGUAACUGGUUAGAAUUUAAAAACAGCAACAACAAACCUGAAGCAUUGUGAUAAAAGGUAUUUAAAAAUGUACGGUAUCCUUUAAGGAAAAAAAUGGAAUCACACUAAUGGGAAGUCAGCAAAAUUAACACUCACGGAAAGCUCAACAUGAAAAUAUAGGUGGGACAGACAAAUAGGUUAUAACAAUUCCAGUAGGCCUAGUGAUGUGCUCUUGCAAUUCUCUGAAUAAUGGUGUGAGGGGAGUGAGGUCAGUGAUUACAAAUAAGAGGAAGCCUCAGUAAAGGAAAAAUUGAAGAAAUUACUGUAAAGAAAAGUAAACCUUUGCCUACAGAUUUUCAGGGUUUAUGGAGUACUUCUUUCUAAGAGUUGGCACUUAGAGACAGUAUGACCUGAUCCCUACUUAUCAGUUUCUCAAAGCUGGCAAGAAGGAAGAACUGUUGUUUGGAGAAUAAAAGAUAGGCAUUGCCUCAGACCUUGCAGCACGAAUGAUGAGAAGAUGCACUUAGAGAUGCGUUUACAGGACACUGGCCAAUUAUCUUGCCUCGCUUGUCUGCCUUUUGAAGUUAAAAGACUUUCAAACGUUCAUAUCUUAGAAGAUACCAAUAGCCAACUACCAGAGAAGAUUAUAAAAAACUGGGAAUGCAGAGAAGACUUUUGGCUUAUUUAUUUAUUUGUUUGUUUUUAAUUUUUUAGGAGGUACUGGGUACAGGCUGUUGAACCCCAGACCUCAUCCAUGCAAAGCAGGCACUCAACCACUGAGCUACUCCCACUCGAGAGGAACCCUUCUGAAACAUAAGCAGCAGGCUGCGGCACUUGGGAGGGUGCAAGGUGGUGAUACCGUCAGCAGUGCAGCGUGGCUGCUCAGGCACAACACCUCCUAGCACAGGUCUCCACCGGAGGUGCUGCUUUCUUGGCUCUAGGCCUCCACGCAAAAAAUACAGAAAUGAAACCCUGCCUCUUUUUCAGGAUGACGAAGUCCUAACUGAAGCUGCCCAGACCGCCAACUUAGAGAUUUAUGAUAAGAAAUAGAAUUCUCAGGUGAACUUGAAUUUGAGUAAAACUUUCUCAUUCUUUCUCUUAGGCUAGUCACAUGGAGAGAGCAAAAUUUAAGUCAUUGUAAACUCUGGUGAAUUUAGAGCUACAGUAAAGGAAUGUAAGUGGUCCUAAGUGUUUCUCCACUCAAGUUGAGGUAAUUUUCCCUGG